RNAcentral lists this ribosomal RNA (253 nucleotides) under uncultured bacterium. RNAcentral describes it as "partial 16S ribosomal RNA". It matches the Rfam family "Bacterial small subunit ribosomal RNA", at positions 524 to 776 of the family's 1533-position model. The record is from RNAcentral.
GACAGAGGGUGCAAACGUUGCUCGGAAUUAUUGGGCGUAAAGGGCGCGUAGGCGGCCAUGCGUGUCUUCCGUGAAAUCCCUCGGCUUAACUGAGGACGUGCGGAAGAAACUGCAAGGCUCGAGUCCGGGAGAGGGGGGUGGAAUUCCCAGUGUAGCGGUGAAAUGCGUAGAUAUUGGGAGGAACACCGGUGGCGAAGGCGGCCCCCUGGACCGGUACUGACGCUGAGACGCGAAAGCGUGGGGAGCAAACAGG